RNAcentral lists this ribosomal RNA (447 nucleotides) under uncultured bacterium. Its description in RNAcentral is "partial 16S ribosomal RNA". It matches the Rfam family "Bacterial small subunit ribosomal RNA", at positions 29 to 523 of the family's 1533-position model. The record is from RNAcentral.
AACGAACGCUGGCGGCAGGCUUAACACAUGCAAGUCGAACGCCCCGCAAGGGGAGUGGCAGACGGGUGAGUCACACGUGGGAACCUUCCUAGAGGUACGGAACAACGCAGGGAAACUUGCGCUAAUACCGUAUACGCUCGAGAGAGGAAAGCUUUAUCGCCUUUAGACGGGCCCGCGUCGGAUUAGCUAGUUGGUGGGGUAACGGCCUACCAAGGCGACGAUCCGUAGCUGAUCUGAGAGGAUGAUCAGUCACACUGGGACUGAGACACGGCCCAGACUCCUACGGGAGGCAGCAGUGGGGAAUUUUGGACAAUGGGCGCAAGCCUGAUCCAGCCAUGCAGCGUGAGUGAAGAAGGCCUUCGGGUUGUAAAGCUCUUUUGUCAGGGACGAUAAUGACGGUACCUGAAGAAUAAGCCCCGGCAAACUUCGUGCCAGCCGCCGCGGUAA